AUGAGCCUCAGACUCAAAGCCACCCCUUCCUGUAACAGUGCCAGACCAUUUCAUGCCCUGCAGGUGUUGCUGCUUCUGUCACUGCUGCUGACCGCUCUGCCUUCCUGCACCAAUGGGCAAAGCAAGAGAAACUUAGGGAAAAGCAAAGGUAGAGACCUGGACAGUGACUUGUACAUUGAACUGUGCUGCGUGUGUGUGAAGUCAGCCUCUGGAAUUCAUCCCAGCAACAUCUUGGAAGUGGUCAGGUCAGGAGCCCCUUGCAACAAAGUCCAAGUGAUGAGCCAUGCUGAAAGAUGGGAGGAAAAUGUACCUGGACCCAGAAGCUCCCAGAAUCAAGAAGAUAGUCCAGAAAAUGUUGGAAGGUGAUGGGUCA
Molecule: long non-coding RNA, 373 nt
Filed under: Homo sapiens (human)
Lineage: Eukaryota; Metazoa; Chordata; Mammalia; Primates; Hominidae
Description: non-protein coding lnc-PF4V1-1:4
Source: RNAcentral